RNA transcript from Magnolia sinica, 1089 nucleotides. It is a transcript of the gene named mitotic-spindle organizing protein 1A-like, with no coding region annotated. NCBI's taxonomy places the organism in Eukaryota, Viridiplantae, Streptophyta, Magnoliopsida, Magnoliales, Magnoliaceae. The record is from RefSeq and is a predicted model, not a curated record. The transcript is spliced from 4 exons.
AUUUCAUCACACUGCCAGAGCAUCAAUCGCUUCUCCGUAGGAUUUCGGUGCGUGCCCGCGGGGAGAGAGGGAAACGUCAGAGCAGAGAGAGAGAGAGAGACGUAGGAGCAGGUACGGCGAACUGAGCAGGGAGAUUUCCGGCGUCUUGGAGCAGGAGAUUCAGCUUCGUGGUAUAUAGUUCCUGGAAUUCAAGACCAUUCAAAUCUCUCUGUCUUUGCAGAUGGAUCCGGAGUCGGCACGCAAUGCGAGGGAAUCGCUGGAGCUGGUGUUCCAGAUGUCGAACAUUCUAGAAACAGGGUUGGAUCGCCACACGCUUUCCAUCCUAAUCGCCCUCUGCGACCAAGGCUUCAAUCCUGAAGCCCUUGCCGCCCUCGUCAAGGAGUUCCGUACGAAUGCCCCACUACCACCACCACCAUCAUCUCCAUCAUCCCAUCAUUCCCUUCAUCAUCAUCAUCCCUAGAUUGGUGGAUAUCGGCAAAACAAUCAAUGUUGCAUUUGGUGUAAAAAAGAAAACUGAAAGCAUGGCGCUCUGCUGGCUUUUGAUUUUUGACCUUUUGUCACUGCGGGGUUGUUCUCUGUUUCCUUGAAUUGGAUGGACAGGGAACCCACUGCUGCUUUUUUGGAUGCAUAUGUGAAUUGAAUUGCGAGUAUUCUUUGAAUUUCAGGACAUAGUGAAGGGAUCAGCAUUGGGAUUGGAAGAGACAGAUGAGUAUUGGCAUAACAUGGAUGAUGACUAUUAACAGUUUGUUUUUCAGUUGUUGGUUCUUGUUGGGAAUUCCAAGAAGUCUGCAUUGUGGCCAUCUACAUGAGAGGAGUGUAAGACAGAAGUUUGCUUCUUCUUCUUAUUCUUUUGGUUUUUGUUUUUUGUUUUUUGUUUUGUUUUGUUUUGUUUUUUUAAAUUUCUUAUUGUGGAAUUCUUGCUAGUAGUUUUGUUUCUUGUUCCUUAUAGAACGGCAUAAACUGUCUCUGAGGAGUAUUUAAAAAUGUGAUGAGGCUGCGUUGGCUCAUGGUAAUUUCAGGGGCGGAUUAAAACUAUUUGUGGUUCUUGAUCCCUGAAACAAGAAGGUGCAUGGUCAUUUUGUUGGCUCA